RNAcentral lists this ribosomal RNA (274 nucleotides) under uncultured bacterium. RNAcentral's name for it is "partial 16S ribosomal RNA". It matches the Rfam family "Bacterial small subunit ribosomal RNA", at positions 523 to 796 of the family's 1533-position model. The record is from RNAcentral.
CUACGGAGGGUCCAAGCGUUAUCCGGAAUCAUUGGGUUUAAAGGGUCCGCAGGCGGUCAAUUAAGUCAGAGUUGAAAGCCCAUCGCUCAACGAUGGAACUGCCUUUGAUACUGGUUGACUUGAGUUAUACGGAAGUAGAUAGAAUAAGUAGUGUAGCGGUGAAAUGCAUAGAUAUUACUUAGAAUACCGAUCGCGAAGGCAGUCUACUACGUAUAUACUGACGCUGAGGGACGAAAGCGUGGGGAGCGAACAGGAUUAGAAACCCUAGUAGUCC